AGGAUGGGACUGCGGCCGAUUAGGUAGUUGGAGAGGUAACGGCUCACCAAGCCGAAGAUCGGUAGGGGCUAUGGGAGUAGGAGCCCCGAGACGGGAACUGAGACAAGGUCCCGAGCCCUACGGGGUGCAGCAGUCGCGAAAUUUCCGCAAUGCGCGAAAGCGUGACGGGGGGAAUCUGAGUGCUUCCCGAAAGGGGGGCUUUUUGUCGGAUUGAAUCUCCGGCAGAAUAAGGACUGGGCAAGAUCAGUGCCAGCCGCCGCGGUAAUACUGACAGUUCGAGUGGUACCCACGAAUAUUGAGCUUAAAGCGUCCGUAGCCGGCGCAGCAAGUCUUCUGCGAAAUCUUUCGGCUCAACCGACAGGCUUGCAGAAGAUACUACUUUGCUAGGGAGUGGAGGAGGUCAGGGGUACUUUAAGGGGAAGGGUAAAAUCUAGUAAUCCUUAAAGGACCAACUGUGGCGAAGGCGCCUGACCAAGACACAUCCGACGGUGAGGGACGAAGGCUAGGGGAGCAAACAGGAUUAGAUACCCUGGUAGUCCUAGCAGUAAAUGAUGCAGACUUGGCGUUGCAGUUGCUUCGAGCGACUGCAGUGCUGUAGGAAAACCGUUUAGUCUGCCGCUUGGGGAGUACGGUCGCAAGACUGAAACUUAAAGGAAUUGGCGGGGAGCACACAAGGGUGGAUGCUGCGGUUCAAUUGGAUUCAACGCCG
This 709-nucleotide ribosomal RNA is filed under the name uncultured archaeon. Its description in RNAcentral is "bacterial SSU rRNA". It matches the Rfam family "Archaeal small subunit ribosomal RNA", at positions 206 to 920 of the family's 1478-position model. The record is from RNAcentral.